Molecule: long non-coding RNA, 2167 nt
Filed under: Homo sapiens (human)
Lineage: Eukaryota; Metazoa; Chordata; Mammalia; Primates; Hominidae
Description: non-protein coding lnc-CGAS-3:2
Source: RNAcentral
GGAUUUGUCCCGGACUAGCGAGAUGGCAAGGCUGAGGACGGGAGGCUGAUUGAGAGGCGAAGCUGGCAAGGUCACCAAGUCUGCCCAGAAAGCUCAGAAGGCUAAAUGAAUAUUAUCCCUAAUACCUGCCACCCCACUCUUAAUCAGUGGUGGAAGAACGGUCUCAGAACUGUUUGUUUCAAUUGGCCAUUUAAGUUUAGUAGUAAAAGACUGGUUAAUGAUAACAAUGCAUCGUAAAACCUUCAGAAGGAAAGGAGAAUGUUUUGUGGACCACUUUGGUUUUCUUUUUUGCGUGUGGCAGUUUUAAGUUAUUAGUUUUUAAAAUCAGUACUUUUUAAUGGAAACAACUUGACCAAAAAUUUGUCACAGAAUUUUGAGACCCAUUAAAAAAGUUAAAUGAGAAACCUGUGUGUUCCUUUGGUCAACACCGAGACAUUUAGGUGAAAGACAUCUAAUUCUGGUUUUACGAAUCUGGAAACUUCUUGAAAAUGUAAUUCUUGAGUUAACACUUCUGGGUGGAGAAUAGGGUUGUUUUCCCCCCACAUAAUUGGAAGGGGAAGGAAUAUCAUUUAAAGCUAUGGGAGGGUUGCUUUGAUUACAACACUGGAGAGAAAUGCAGCAUGUUGCUGAUUGCCUGUCACUAAAACAGGCCAAAAACUGAGUCCUUGUGUUGCAUAGAAAGCUUCAUGUUGCUAAACCAAUGUUAAGUGAAUCUUUGGAAACAAAAUGUUUCCAAAUUACUGGGAUGUGCAUGUUGAAACGUGGGUUAAAAUGACUGGGCAGUGAAAGUUGACUAUUUGCCAUGACAUAAGAAAUAAGUGUAGUGGCUAGUGUACACCCUAUGAGUGGAAGGGUCCAUUUUGAAGUCAGUGGAGUAAGCUUUAUGCCAGUUUGAUGGUUUCACAAGUUCUAUUGAGUGCUAUUCAGAAUAGGAACAAGGUUCUAAUAGAAAAAGAUGGCAAUUUGAAGUAGCUAUAAAAUUAGACUAAUCUACAUUGCUUUUCUCCUGCAGAGUCUAAUACCUUUUAUGCUUUGAUAAUUAGCAGUUUGUCUACUUGGUCACUAGGAAUGAAACUACAUGGUAAUAGGCUUAACAGGUGUAAUAGCCCACUUACUCCUGAAUCUUUAAGCAUUUGUGCAUUUGAAAAAUGCUUUUCGCGAUCUUCCUGCUGGGAUUACAGGCAUGAGCCACUGUGCCUGACCUCCCAUAUGUAAAAGUGUCUAAAGGUUUUUUUUUGGUUAUAAAAGGAAAAUUUUUGCUUAAGUUUGAAGGAUAGGUAAAAUUAAAGGACAUGCUUUCUGUUUGUGUGAUGGUUUUUAAAAAUUUUUUUUAAGAUGGAGUUCUUGUUGCCCAGGCUAGAAUGCAAUGGCAAAAUCUCACUGCAAUCUCCUCCUCCUGGGUUCAAGCAAUUCUCCUACUUCAGCCUCCCAAGUAGCUGGGAUUACAGGCAUGUGCUAAUUUGGUGUUUUUAAUAGAGAUGAGGUUUUUCCAUGUUGGUCAGGCUGGUCUCAAACUCCUGACCUUAGGUGAUCGCCUCGGCCUCCUAAAGUGCUGGAAUUACAGGCAUGAGCCACCAUGCCUGGCCAGGACAUGUGUUCUUAAGGACAUGCUAAGCAGGAGUUAAAGCAGCCCAAGAGAUAAGGCCUCUUAAAGUGACUGGCAAUGUGUAUUGCUCAAGAUUCAAAGGUACUUGAAUUGGCCAUAGACAAGUCUGUAAUGAAGUGUUAUCGUUUUCCCUCAUCUGAGUCUGAAUUAGAUAAAAUGCCUUCCCAUCAGCCAGUGCUCUGAGGUAUCAAGUCUAAAUUGAACUAGAGAUUUUUGUCCUUAGUUUCUUUGCUAUCUAAUGUUUACACAAGUAAAUAGUCUAAGAUUUGCUGGAUGACAGAAAAAACAGGUAAGGCCUUUAAUAGAUGGCCAAUAGAUGCCCUGAUAAUGAAAGUUGACACCUGUAAGAUUUACCAGUAGAGAAUUCUUGACAUGCAAGGAAGCAAGAUUUAACUGAAAAAUUGUUCCCACUGGAAGCAGGAAUGAGUCAGUUUACUUGCAUAUACUGAGAUUGAGAUUAACUUCCUGUGAAACCCAGUGUCUUAGACAACUGUGGCUUGAGCACCACCUGCUGGUAUUCAUUACAAACUUGCUCACUACAAUAAAUGAAUUUUAAGCUUU